GAGGUUUUUAGAAGAAACCUCACUUACAGCAGCAGCCAUAGCAACUUAACCCUACAGGGAGCAUCUGUCACAGAUAUGCUGGGACUCACUAAGCUGCUGGUUGUGAGGAGCAACAGCCACAGGCUGGACUGGAUGCAAUUGACAAGGACCAUCAUCUAGAGACAGAAAAACGCUGGAGCGUGAUAACAAUGAGCACCAACUUGGAACUGUAUAUGAACUACUUGUCCUGCGGUGUCAGAGAGCUUUGCUCUGAGGACAUCCGUGAGACAGGCUGCUUUGCUGUCUGUGCCCAGAUCGACUCAACCUUUCCCUGACAUCCAACCGUCAGGCUGGAGAGAACCUCGGGACAAGAACAAGACUGCUCUUCAGUGGAUUUCAGAAAGAAGAACGAGUCCAGGUGCCUUGAUUCUGCUUUACCACUGAUGACCUUCAUGUGACCAAGGAAUGAUUCUGGAUCUGUUUCUUCUAACACUGAAUUUUUCCUAAAAGAUGUGGUCUGAUGAAGGAGGAUCUCAUGGAAACAUGGACCAUGGCUGAGUGUGCAAAUGGAGUUUCAGGCAAUAGAGUAUGAGGAUCUUAGGUGCCUGAUUUGGGCUCUGAAGCCACAUUUCCACAGCUGAUGGCUGUCCCUGAAGGGCCCUAAGGUGAAAGUAACCAUCUGCUGGUGUAAGAUGGGGUCUCUGUCACACCGUUUUAUUAAUCCCCAAUGUAAAGCCUGCAACUUCUCAGAAAAAGUUCCCCAUACAUCACUGAACAAAAGGUUCCUAGGAAGAGAUAACCAGGCCCUGAACAUUUACACAUUUAUAAUUAUUUAUGCAACUGAAGGGUUUCUAGUAAAUUACUCUCUUAGUUUAUAUUUCCUAUAGUUUUUAAGUUGUAAAAACUAAGCAGCAGUUUUUCCUCGUGCUUUACUCUUUUAGAAUUUUCUUUUGAGAGAUUUAUUAAUAAAUGGUGGGAGAAAGUAUUUGAAAAUAAAAGAUGUGCAGGCUUUAGGAAACAUGAAGAAUUGCUGUGCUUGAUGCAAAGAGGCACUGUCUGCACCCCCACAGGGGUGGACUGCUAACCCCGAUGGGGCGCUUCUCUGUGUGGCUGAUCCGUUUGCCCCAACAGUACCUGCUAAGAGGCACAUUAUGUUAUUUCUAUUUUACAGGUGAUGAAACUGAGGUGCAGCAAGCUCAGGUAACCUAUCUAAAGAAGUAAGGGAUAUGACUAAGACUGGAACCCAAGCAGUGGGGGUCACAGAACUAAAGCUCACCUAAAACAAGCAAAGAACAUUUCAGUGCUAAACAACAUGGCCCUACACUUGAGUCUAGUUUCACUCCCAGGUAUUUUUCAGAAACUGCUCUCUUAAACGUCACUCUAUGACCGCCUAGUCACUAAGUCCAUCAGCCUUUCUAAGAUCUCAUUUUCCUUGGCUUUUCUGAAGCUUUGCAACUCCUUCAUUUUUCAGCGUGACCCUGGUAGAAUGAGGUAAGAGGUAUCACCGCAGCAGAACAACUUUCAGUGGUCAAUAGGGAGUUACUGAAGACCCUCGAGCAGGACAGCAAUAGGCUGAAGUGGUUUGUGGGAUUCAGCUUUUUAUCACUGUUAACCAAAGUACCUGACAGCAAUAACCUAGAGGAGUAAUAGUUUAUAUGGCUCAUGGUUUCUGAGGUUCAGUCCAUGGUCAGCUGACUCCAUCACUCUGGGUUCAGGGUGAGGCAGAACAUCAUGCCAGCAGGAUGUGGAGGAAGAAAGCUGCUCAGCUCUUGACAGCCAGGAAGCAGAGAGAGCUGAGGAUCCAGGGAGGCAAGACAUUAUCCUCAAGGGCAUGCCCCCAGUGACCUACUUCCUCUAGCCAUGCCCCACCUGCCUACAAUGACCACCUUUCAGAUUAUUAAUCCAUCAAGUGGAUGAGUCCACUGAUCGGGUCAUAGCUCUCCUAAUCUGAUCAUUUCCCUUCUGAACAUGCCUAUAUGAACACAGGAGCUUUGGGGGGACACUUCAUACCCAAACUAGAACAUGGUCCCUUAGGAAGAUCAGCAUGACAGAGCUAUUUAGGAACUGUGAGUGAGGCCCGGAGUGUUCUAGGUAGAUCAGCCAGCAGCUGCCACAGGGACCUAGGCAUGAAUUCAUGAGUGACUCCAAGAAACAAUUAUGCUGUGAGGGACUUCAUUAACCCAAGCAGGGUUGGAAUGCAUACUCAGGGUAUGAUUGUUUAAAUCCUUAUGAAACUCCUUGUUCUUGUACACUGAGGCUGCUAGAGAGAACACAAUUUUUCAGACUACUUACUGUUCCCUCUGUCAGAAACUAUAGGAAAAGGUCUUUCAGGGCAUGCUGUUCCUGAGCAUUUGGUGGUGCAUUGUCAACUCUGGUUCCCACAGUUGCAAACAUGCCCCCUUUGUAGGCCCCCCUAGAAGCUCAGAGGGAAAAGGACUGGGAGCCCCAGAGCAGGCAUUUUGUCCUCACCACGAACUUGGCUCCAUCCGUCUUGCUUCUUGUAUUCUCCCUUUGCCAUCUUUCCUCCCCUUAUAUCAGAGUUCAUUUGUUUCACCAUCACGUAGGCAUCUCUGAAAGACCCUUUAAAUCUUUUCCAGAAUAGAGAAGGAUAGAAGAGAAGAAUAAGAGGUCACAGGAGAGAGGGAGAAAGAGAAAUGGAAUUUGAAAGAAAGGACAACAUCCAAGCCAAUCAACUCGAAGAAGACAUUUUGGAGACAACUAGGGAAAUGGAAGAUGAGUAUUCAAUUAUAGCAAGGAAUUAUUAUUCACUUUCUGGGUGAGAUAAUACCAAUGUGUGGUGUUUUUUUUAAAAGUUCUUACCUGUGGCAAUAGACUACAAGCUAUAGGUGAAAGUUACUCAUUUCUGAGAUUUGCUUUAAAUGACUAUGGAAAAAAUAAAAGAUGGAAAAUAGGAGAAAAAAAACAUAAAAACCAUUUUUUAAAGUAGGAAACUGUGAAGAUGAGGAUUCUUCUCACAGAAAUAAUGUACCUGGGAAAAACAAUGGUGAUUUCUCAGAAGGUUGGAAUGCCUGGCUUGCUAGCAGAUUUGGUGAGCAUUUCACUAAACUCUGAGCACGUGCCUGAGUGAAGAAAACAGAAAGGAAAGAACAGAUAUUUAUUAAGUAUUUAUCGAUCCCGGGCACUGUGCUCAUAUCUACAACCUGGUUGGAGAAUACCACCCCCCACCUCUGUCCAUCUUAUCUGCUCUCCUCUUUCUGAAAAGAUGUGGGGGAGGGUAACUGUGUGGGUCACCAGACUGCAAGGCUUAUAGUUCUAUCUUCCUGGGUUGCCCACCACUCCCCCAUUCAAGUCACUACAUGGCAAGUUCAAAUUAUCCCAGGAACAUGCCAAAAAAUGAAGGCUCCUACCCUGAGCUGUUGGAAGCCAUCAUGGCUGGCCUCAGCUCCAAUUGUAUAUUAAUAGUGAACAUUGAUUUUUCUCACCUCUGAACCAAAAGGCAGCCAGAACGAUGUCACACAAGACAAAUGCUCCUUUGAAGUCAGAAUCUCUGUCAUGGCCAUAUUUUCAGGAGUGCCAUAGCCACCCACAGAUGGCAGUCACUUAAUGAACAGUACACUAAGGAACGUGCAUCCAGGCUUCAUUAAGGUGCAGCAAACUUUUAGAAGGAAGAAUGCUGAGGAGGGCAGAGUUGGGGAGGAAACCCCUGAUCAACUGUGGACUCAGGUCAGUUGCAGCAGAUUCUGCCAUAACCUUCUAACUGUUAGUAUCUCAAGCACCUGUUUUUGCCAUUGUCUCCAUAAGGAAACAGAGCCUUUUUCUAGGUUUUCCUCUUUUCUCAUCCAAAUAGAAAAAGAAAAGAAAGGUCCUAUAAAAGCUUAUUUACAUCAGACUCUACUGAAGUUAUAGGGCUUUGGAGGGAGUUUAUAUUGCAACAGCCUUGUGCAAAAUGACUUUGGCCAAGUCUGUAAACCUCAGAUUCUUCCAGAAAGCUAUAUAUAAGAAGGAAUAAAAAGGCCCAUGGACAGAUACUUAAAGCAAAUUUACCUAAUUUUCAAAUUUGUUCAAGGACCUGCAUAUGGCAAUAUGCCAGUUAGCUAAUGAAUCAAUAUACUAAGGCUUCCUGUAUCUGUUUAGGGAAGCAGGAAAUCUCAAUUAUCUCUAUAAGUUUAUUCUUUCCAUUGGCAGCUAUUUCUCUGGGCCAGGGACUGUCCUCCAUUCUUGGGCAAUAGAAAUGAAAACAAAAUCCUGACCUAUUUUAUACAGUCUAUGGUCUUGCAGGGAUGGCAGGGUGGGAGUUGCUGUAACCAAAAUCCAGACCUUCUUCUAUGGUUUGAAUGUCCUCUUCAAAACUCAUGUUCGAAUUUAAUUGUGACCUUUAAGAGGUGAUCAGACCAGGGGAACUCUGCCCUCAUGAGUGGAUUAACACCAAUAUCCCAGGAGUGGGUUAGUUAUCAGUGGAUAACUGAUGUUCCUAAUGAAAGGGUAAGUCCACCCUCCCUCUGCCCUACCUGUGCUCACCUGCCCUUCCACCACGUUAUGAUGCAGCAAGAAGACCCUCGUCGGAUGCAGACACCAUGCUCCUGAACUUCCAGCAUCCAGACUGGGAGCCAAAUUAACUUCUACUGUUGAUAAAUUUCCCAGUCUAUGGUAUUCUGUUUUGGCAGCAGAGAGCACACUAAGACAACCUCACACUGCUGCAUGGGACAAGGGAGUAACAAAAGCUGCACUGGAGGAUUGGAGCAUAAAGAAUCAACUCGAGGCUCAUCUUUCAGCUUGGCUUGUAAGGAGGAAUGGAAGGUUAAAAGCCACCCAAAAGAUGGAUAGGGGUAGAGAAGAACAUUCCAGACAGAAGGAGGAACAUGCAUAAUCCAAGGCCCAGAGGAAUGAGAGGUGCCCUAGGCUUUGGUGCCUAAUGACAGGAAUCUAAUGUUUCUUUCUCUGACCUGAGAUGCACAGGGAUGGGUGAUGGAAAGUCCCAUUUCGCAUUAAGUUGAUGGAUAUUAGAAUUGUUUGCAUGCCAGCACAGGGGACUGGGAGGCCAGAGGUCAUCCCUGGUACAACUUUCCUGACCUCUCCAUCUCCUUAAGGUACACCUCAAAGGUCAGCUCCCUGACUUCCUCAGACCGCGUUGGCUGCCAUGUCCUUGAUAAUACUGAUCACACAGACUUGACCGUCCUUUGUAGAGUCCCCAGGAGACAGAGAGGUCACUAAGGAUGCCUGACCCCAUCUCUGGAAGCAUUUUGCACAAUGGAUACCCAGUAGGUAGUCUGAAAAUGAUUCAGAGAUUUAAAAAUGUUUAUUGAACAGUGAAUUCACAGGAAUAGCUGAUAAUUACUUUUGAUAUAUUCACAUUUGUACUUCAUUUAUUCAUCUAGCACAAAAGGAUGGGUUGGCAGCUUAACUGCCUCACUGAACAUCUUAGCUGGCAAGUCUAGUGUCCAAUUCUGAACUGUUGGGUAAUGGUGGUGCUGAUUUUCAACCUAUUGAGUGGCAUACCACACUACUUAGCAAAAAAAUUCAGCAUCUGCAGAUUGCUAUUCCAUUUCUUCCUCUCCCUAUUUUGUCUUUGUCAUAUGAGCCUACUGUCACCUCUCUGACAAGCUGGUUUGGACCACAAAGUGAGAUUCUGUGUUUGAAAAUACUUUGCAAAAGAGAAUGUGCUAUUUGGUGGCAAGAUGCUGUCAUUGCUAUGUAUAUGCUAGUAUCAGAGGAUCCAAUACUACCAUAGGACCUAUGACAACUUUUUGACUUCCAUUUGAUGUAGAUUUUCUUAGAAAUGUAUUUUUAGUGAUUGUCUCAGAAGAGGCACACUCUUGCUCAAGCACAUGGUCUCACACAGUCACGUGCCUAGGAACUGGGGUUAUGUUCAACAGGUUGGAAUAGGAAAUUAAGGACUCUGUUUUCCCUCCAGCCCAAGGAAGUUAAUACAGUAGCUUUGGGGCACAAAGAAAAAGUCUUCUGUGGGCCUAAUACUGGGACAUGUUAUCUCUAAUGUUAUACCUAGUUGAAUGUUAUCUAAUCUAAUCUAAUGUUAUCAUUAAUUAUCUCUAAUAUUCACAUUAGCCUCAUAGAGAAGUAUUAAUAUCCCUCCUUUAUGCAUGGUAAAAUGAAUUUCAGAGAGAGUCCAGGCCCUUGCCCAGCCAGGAAAUGGUGGAAACAGUAUAAAUGAAGAUCGGAGUUACUCCCAAACUCCUUUCGUUUGAAGAUGCGACAACCUCUUGAACCAGGCCCAGAGGUGCACAUCUAUAAUUGCAGUGACUGGAUGCAAGGCAGGAGGCUUGCAGGUUCAAGGUCAGCCUCAGCAAGUUAGCAUGGCCCUGAUUCAAGAUAAAAGAAUUAAAAAGAGUGAGGGAUGUAGCUUAGUGGUAAAGCACCCCUAGAUUAAAUCCCUGGUACCCAAUUCACUUUUACCAUCUGUAAAAUGGAUUGAAAAUAUAUUCCUUGCCUAUUUGCAGCAUCAAACUGAAUUUCUUAGCACUGAAAUGACAUACAUAGUGGCAACAAAUACUAAGAAUGUAACAGUUAUGUAUGCUUCACUUUUUCACAGUAGUUCUGCAUAAAUUCUCCAUAGACAAGAUGAUACUUUGUAGUAAAAAAUAAACAACUAAAUCAAAAUUAAAAAAAAAAAAAGCUCGUGGUUACAACCAUCAGGAUCCUCAGGUGCAGUUAUACACUUGCACAGGGAAGGAAAAAUCUCCUCCUGGGUCUUCUUGGGAAGCAAUCAGGGCACAAAUUGUGCAGACACUCUGAUGAGCACAUUGCCUAAACUCUCCAUGUCUUGGUGGUAGAGAAAUAUAGAGCCUCCUUCAGGGCUUAUUGGAGGUUAAAUGAGAAAAGGCACCUGGAGUGCACAGCUAGUGCACAAUAGAUGUUAGCAGUAAUCACAAGGGAUGCUAAACAGCACUGCUGGGCUUCACUCUAGGUAAGACUUCUCCAGACAUUUCAGUUUCCUCCUCCUUUCCUCUCCUCCCAAACUCUAGCCACAGUUUACAAAGCUUGUCUUUGUUCCUUUUCAUUUUGGUGGUAAUAACAGACCAAUAGAUCAUUUUCAAAAGCAAUAACUUCAUGAUUGCAUGGAAGAGUUUGCUGAUUUCAUAUGUUAACCAGAUUGAAUUGUUCACCUCCCCUACAUCCAUUAAAAAGUGAUGUAUUUGUAUGUAUUAUUUUGCUGGACAGCAAAAAAUGCAUGUUUUCCUGUCUGGGUCCAUCAAUCACUUUGUCGCUGAACUGAUGAGAUCCCUGACUGAGGGGCUGAGCAAUGAUUUACUCCACACCAGUGUAUCCAGCUCAGCCUCCAAUAUAUCUACUGAGAAUACUCGUGUCUACUAAUCUGGAAAGGGAUCUUGGCUCAAUGUUCAUUGUCUAUGAGGGACUGAACUAAAUGGAAGAACAAUUUGAGUAGGGAGGAACAGAGACAAGAAUCCUAAAAAGCAAAACAAAGUUUGUGUUGAGGAUACCAGUAGGUCUUUAAUGUUGACUCCCAGUGAAAUUUGGGAUUCACAUUCCCAAAGGAUCAAGACCAGAGCUUCUGUCCUCGUGAUCAACACUUACCUCUUGCCCCAGUGUUGUGGGGGUCGGGGGGAACCAUGAGGAAACAAGAAAGAAAAUGUUCUAGAAUUACACCUAGAGAUUGUACAAGAAAUGCCAAAGUGUUAGUGAAAUCCUGGCAUGGACAGAGAAGUCCACCUGGCCCAGUACCCCUUGGAGAAGCAUCAGAGGGAAGUCAGUUGCUCCCUGCACAGGAAGACGCAGGAGACAGGUUAGCAGUGCAUGGGGCAGUUCCUGAGAGAAAGCAAGAGAACAAAGAGAAAAUUUAAGAAUUAGAGAGACAAAAGAGCCAGAGGAUUUUUGACACCAGAAAUGUCUUCACUGUUGCAAUAUAAACUCCCACCAAAGCCCCAUACCUUCAGUAAAGUCUGAUAUAAAUAAGCUUUUGUAGUACUUUUUUUCCCCCUCAUUUUUCUUUUUCUAUUUGUAUGGGAUAAGAGGAAACCAUAGAAAAAAGCUCUGUUCCAUGAUGGAGUCAAUGGCAAAAACAGAGACUAAACACCAGCCAUGAAACAGAACAGAGAUUAAGAUUCAAUGGAAGAAAUGAUUUACAGUAGAAGGGGUAG
Ictidomys tridecemlineatus (thirteen-lined ground squirrel) is the source of this 8054-nucleotide non-coding RNA. The record is from RefSeq and is a predicted model, not a curated record. Lineage: Eukaryota; Metazoa; Chordata; Mammalia; Rodentia; Sciuridae.